GAUGAACGCUGGCGGCGUGCUUAACACAUGCAAGUCGAACGGUGAAGGCGGAGCUUGCUCUGCUGGAUCAGUGGCGAACGGGUGAGUAACACGUGAGCAAUCUGCCCCUGACUCUGGGAUAAGCGCUGGAAACGGCGUCUAAUACUGGAUACGAGCUGCGAAGGCAUCUUCAGCAGCUGGAAAGAAUUUCGGUCAGGGAUGAGCUCGCGGCCUAACAGCUUGUUGGUGAGGUAAUGGCUCACCAAGGCGUCGACGGGUAGCCGGCCUGAGAGGGUGACCGGCCACACUGGGACUGAGACACGGCCCAGACUCCUACGGGAGGCAGCAGUGGGGAAUAUUGCACAAUGGGCGAAAGCCUGAUGCAGCAACGCCGCGUGAGGGACGACGGCCUUCGGGUUGUAAACCUCUUUUAACAGGGAAGAAGCGAAAGUGACGGUACCUGCAGAAAAAGCGCCGGCUAACUACGUG
Molecule: ribosomal RNA, 468 nt
Filed under: uncultured bacterium
Lineage: Bacteria
Description: partial 16S ribosomal RNA
Rfam family: Bacterial small subunit ribosomal RNA
Source: RNAcentral